GUGUAGCUCAGUGGUAGAGCGCUUGCCUAGCAUGUGUGAGGCACUGGGUUCAAUUCUCAGCAC
RNAcentral lists this transfer RNA (63 nucleotides) under Ictidomys tridecemlineatus (thirteen-lined ground squirrel). RNAcentral's name for it is "Spermophilus tridecemlineatus (thirteen-lined ground squirrel) tRNA". It matches the Rfam family "tRNA", at positions 5 to 66 of the family's 71-position model. From Rfam's summary of the family: Transfer RNA (tRNA) molecules are approximately 80 nucleotides in length. Their secondary structure includes four short double-helical elements and three loops (D, anti-codon, and T loops). The record is from Rfam by way of RNAcentral. Lineage: Eukaryota; Metazoa; Chordata; Mammalia; Rodentia; Sciuridae.